UACGUAGGGGGCAAGCGUUGUCCGGAAUCAUUGGGCGUAAAGCGCGUGUAGGCGGCCAGAUAAGUCCGCUGUGAAAACUCGGGGCUUAACCCCGAGCCUGCAGUGGAUACGGGCAGACUAGAGGUAGGUAGGGGAGAAUGGAAUUCCCGGUGUAGCGGUGAAAUGCGCAGAUAUCGGGAGGAACACCAGUGGCGAAGGCGACUACCUGGCCUGUUCUUGACGCUGAGGCGCGAAAGCUAGGGGAGCAAACGGG
Molecule: ribosomal RNA, 253 nt
Filed under: uncultured bacterium
Lineage: Bacteria
Description: partial 16S ribosomal RNA
Rfam family: Bacterial small subunit ribosomal RNA
Source: RNAcentral